This is a small nucleolar RNA of Corylus avellana, 89 nucleotides long. RefSeq annotates it as small nucleolar RNA snoR114. The record is from RefSeq and is a predicted model, not a curated record. Lineage: Eukaryota; Viridiplantae; Streptophyta; Magnoliopsida; Fagales; Betulaceae.
UAGCGGUGAUGAUUUCUGCGUUACUAGUGAUGGUUGGGUCCAUCACCACUCUCUGAUAUUUCGGAAGAGAAAUACGCGCAUCUGAGCUA